This 253-nucleotide ribosomal RNA is filed under the name uncultured bacterium. Its description in RNAcentral is "partial 16S ribosomal RNA". It matches the Rfam family "Bacterial small subunit ribosomal RNA", at positions 524 to 776 of the family's 1533-position model. The record is from RNAcentral.
UACGUAGGGGGCAAGCGUUGUCCGGAUUUAUUGGGCGUAAAGAGCGUGUAGGCGGCCAGGUAGGUCCGUUGUGAAAACUCGAGGCUCAACCUCGAGACGCCGAUGGAAACCAUGUGGCUAGAGUCCGGAAGAGGAGAGUGGAAUUCCUGGUGUAGCGGUGAAAUGCGUAGAUAUCAGGAGGAACACCGGUGGCGAAGGCGGCUAUCUGGACAGAGUCUGACGCUGAGGCGCGAAAGCUAGGGGAGCAAACAGG